GAGGGUAUAGCUCAGUCGUUAGAGCACAUGCUCAGUAUGUGUGAAGUUCUGGGUUCAAUCCUCAGUGCCUCA
RNAcentral lists this transfer RNA (72 nucleotides) under Camelus bactrianus (Bactrian camel). It matches the Rfam family "tRNA". From Rfam's summary of the family: Transfer RNA (tRNA) molecules are approximately 80 nucleotides in length. RNAcentral also lists the same sequence under 1 other name. Lineage: Eukaryota; Metazoa; Chordata; Mammalia; Artiodactyla; Camelidae. The record is from Rfam by way of RNAcentral.